Molecule: transfer RNA, 73 nt
Filed under: Nippostrongylus brasiliensis
Lineage: Eukaryota; Metazoa; Nematoda; Chromadorea; Rhabditida; Heligmosomidae
Rfam family: tRNA
About the family: Transfer RNA (tRNA) molecules are approximately 80 nucleotides in length.
Source: Rfam by way of RNAcentral
UACUCAGUAGCAUAGUGGUUAAUGCGCAGACCCGGUUACUCGCAAUACGCGGGUUCGAAUCCCGCCUGAGAUG